Molecule: ribosomal RNA, 429 nt
Filed under: bacterium
Lineage: Bacteria
Description: partial 16S ribosomal RNA
Rfam family: Bacterial small subunit ribosomal RNA
Source: RNAcentral
UAGGGAAUCUUCCACAAUGGACGCAAGUCUGAUGGAGCAACGCCGCGUGAGUGAAGAAGGUUUUCGGAUCGUAAAGCUCUGUUGUUGGUGAAGAAGGAUAGAGGCAGUAACUGGUCUUUAUUUGACGGUAAUCAACCAGAAAGUCACGGCUAACUACGUGCCAGCAGCCGCGGUAAUACGUAGGUGGCAAGCGUUGUCCGGAUUUAUUGGGCGUAAAGCGAGCGCAGGCGGAAUGAUAAGUCUGAUGUGAAAGCCCACGGCUCAACCGUGGAACUGCAUCGGAAACUGUCAUUCUUGAGUGCAGAAGAGGAGAGUGGAAUUCCAUGUGUAGCGGUGGAAUGCGUAGAUAUAUGGACGAACACCAGUGGCGAAGGCGGCUCUCUGGUCUGCAACUGACGCUGAGGCUCGAAAGCAUGGGUAGCGAACAGG